AGGUUCGUACAACUCUGAGCGGUGGAUCACUCGGCUCGUGUGUCGAUGAAGAGCGCAGCCAACUGUGUGAAUUAAUGUGAACUGCAUACUGCUUUGAACAUCGACAUCUUGAACGCACAUUGCGCCAUGGGUUAGCCCAUGGCACGCCUGUCCGAGGGUCGGCU
RNAcentral lists this ribosomal RNA (164 nucleotides) under Dolichosaccus symmetrus. RNAcentral describes it as "5.8S ribosomal RNA". It matches the Rfam family "5.8S ribosomal RNA". Rfam says of the family: 5.8S ribosomal RNA (5.8S rRNA) is a component of the large subunit of the eukaryotic ribosome. The record is from RNAcentral. Lineage: Eukaryota; Metazoa; Platyhelminthes; Trematoda; Plagiorchiida; Plagiorchiidae.